Molecule: non-coding RNA, 342 nt
Organism: Python bivittatus (Burmese python)
Lineage: Eukaryota; Metazoa; Chordata; Lepidosauria; Squamata; Pythonidae
Source: RefSeq, a predicted model, not a curated record
GAAGGGAAGAUGAUGACCAGCUACAGAGAAGUAAGGGAUGAAGAAGGUGACAGCUCAGCUGAGGACUGAUUCCAAAGAGAAUUGGCCGUAGAGGAGCGUUGGGAAACAGGAGCAGUCUGUGGCAGAAUGGCUUGUGGGGCCAACGUCCCGUGCCCUGGGAUUAAAGAAUAGCAGGGCAGGAGCAGCAGAAAUCCUCCAGCUGCCUUGGAGUCUCUUCUGGUGAAAGUUGCUCCAAAACAAAUGCAGUGAUUCAUUGAAAAGUCACUGCAAUUUUUUUUUUAUUAGAGUUGCUUCUACAUUCUUUUUAAUUUACAUUAAAAUUUGGAACCUCUGUGCGCUAUA